This 2925-nucleotide ribosomal RNA is filed under the name Escherichia coli. RNAcentral's name for it is "bacterial LSU rRNA". It matches the Rfam family "Bacterial large subunit ribosomal RNA". Lineage: Bacteria; Pseudomonadati; Pseudomonadota; Gammaproteobacteria; Enterobacterales; Enterobacteriaceae. The record is from RNAcentral.
GGGUUGUGAGGUUAAGCGACUAAGCGUACACGGUGGAUGCCCUGGCAGUCAGAGGCGAUGAAGGACGUGCUAAUCUGCGAUAAGCGUCGGUAAGGUGAUAUGAACCGUUAUAACCGGCGAUUUCCGAAUGGGGAAACCCAGUGUGAUUCGUCACACUAUCAUUAACUGAAUCCAUAGGUUAAUGAGGCGAACCGGGGGAACUGAAACAUCUAAGUACCCCGAGGAAAAGAAAUCAACCGAGAUUCCCCCAGUAGCGGCGAGCGAACGGGGAGCAGCCCAGAGCCUGAAUCAGUGUGUGUGUUAGUGGAAGCGUCUGGAAAGGCGCGCGAUACAGGGUGACAGCCCCGUACACAAAAAUGCACAUGCUGUGAGCUCGAUGAGUAGGGCGGGACACGUGGUAUCCUGUCUGAAUAUGGGGGGACCAUCCUCCAAGGCUAAAUACUCCUGACUGACCGAUAGUGAACCAGUACCGUGAGGGAAAGGCGAAAAGAACCCCGGCGAGGGGAGUGAAAAAGAACCUGAAACCGUGUACGUACAAGCAGUGGGAGCACGCUUAGGCGUGUGACUGCGUACCUUUUGUAUAAUGGGUCAGCGACUUAUAUUCUGUAGCAAGGUUAACCGAAUAGGGGAGCCGAAGGGAAACCGAGUCUUAACUGGGCGUUAAGUUGCAGGGUAUAGACCCGAAACCCGGUGAUCUAGCCAUGGGCAGGUUGAAGGUUGGGUAACACUAACUGGAGGACCGAACCGACUAAUGUUGAAAAAUUAGCGGAUGACUUGUGGCUGGGGGUGAAAGGCCAAUCAAACCGGGAGAUAGCUGGUUCUCCCCGAAAGCUAUUUAGGUAGCGCCUCGUGAAUUCAUCUCCGGGGGUAGAGCACUGUUUCGGCAAGGGGGUCAUCCCGACUUACCAACCCGAUGCAAACUGCGAAUACCGGAGAAUGUUAUCACGGGAGACACACGGCGGGUGCUAACGUCCGUCGUGAAGAGGGAAACAACCCAGACCGCCAGCUAAGGUCCCAAAGUCAUGGUUAAGUGGGAAACGAUGUGGGAAGGCCCAGACAGCCAGGAUGUUGGCUUAGAAGCAGCCAUCAUUUAAAGAAAGCGUAAUAGCUCACUGGUCGAGUCGGCCUGCGCGGAAGAUGUAACGGGGCUAAACCAUGCACCGAAGCUGCGGCAGCGACGCUGAUGCGUUGUUGGGUAGGGGAGCGUUCUGUAAGCCUGCGAAGGUGUGCUGUGAGGCAUGCUGGAGGUAUCAGAAGUGCGAAUGCUGACAUAAGUAACGAUAAAGCGGGUGAAAAGCCCGCUCGCCGGAAGACCAAGGGUUCCUGUCCAACGUUAAUCGGGGCAGGGUGAGUCGACCCCUAAGGCGAGGCCGAAAGGCGUAGUCGAUGGGAAACAGGUUAAUAUUCCUGUACUUGGUGUUACUGCGAAGGGGGGACGGAGAAGGCUAUGUUGGCCGGGCGACGGUUGUCCCGGUUUAAGCGUGUAGGCUGGUUUUCCAGGCAAAUCCGGAAAAUCAAGGCUGAGGCGUGAUGACGAGGCACUACGGUGCUGAAGCAACAAAUGCCCUGCUUCCAGGAAAAGCCUCUAAGCAUCAGGUAACAUCAAAUCGUACCCCAAACCGACACAGGUGGUCAGGUAGAGAAUACCAAGGCGCUUGAGAGAACUCGGGUGAAGGAACUAGGCAAAAUGGUGCCGUAACUUCGGGAGAAGGCACGCUGAUAUGUAGGUGAAGCGACUUGCUCGUGGAGCUGAAAUCAGUCGAAGAUACCAGCUGGCUGCAACUGUUUAUUAAAAACACAGCACUGUGCAAACACGAAAGUGGACGUAUACGGUGUGACGCCUGCCCGGUGCCGGAAGGUUAAUUGAUGGGGUCAGCGCAAGCGAAGCUCUUGAUCGAAGCCCCGGUAAACGGCGGCCGUAACUAUAACGGUCCUAAGGUAGCGAAAUUCCUUGUCGGGUAAGUUCCGACCUGCACGAAUGGCGUAAUGAUGGCCAGGCUGUCUCCACCCGAGACUCAGUGAAAUUGAACUCGCUGUGAAGAUGCAGUGUACCCGCGGCAAGACGGAAAGACCCCGUGAACCUUUACUAUAGCUUGACACUGAACAUUGAGCCUUGAUGUGUAGGAUAGGUGGGAGGCUUUGAAGUGUGGACGCCAGUCUGCAUGGAGCCGACCUUGAAAUACCACCCUUUAAUGUUUGAUGUUCUAACGUUGACCCGUAAUCCGGGUUGCGGACAGUGUCUGGUGGGUAGUUUGACUGGGGCGGUCUCCUCCUAAAGAGUAACGGAGGAGCACGAAGGUUGGCUAAUCCUGGUCGGACAUCAGGAGGUUAGUGCAAUGGCAUAAGCCAGCUUGACUGCGAGCGUGACGGCGCGAGCAGGUGCGAAAGCAGGUCAUAGUGAUCCGGUGGUUCUGAAUGGAAGGGCCAUCGCUCAACGGAUAAAAGGUACUCCGGGGAUAACAGGCUGAUACCGCCCAAGAGUUCAUAUCGACGGCGGUGUUUGGCACCUCGAUGUCGGCUCAUCACAUCCUGGGGCUGAAGUAGGUCCCAAGGGUAUGGCUGUUCGCCAUUUAAAGUGGUACGCGAGCUGGGUUUAGAACGUCGUGAGACAGUUCGGUCCCUAUCUGCCGUGGGCGCUGGAGAAUUGAGGGGGGCUGCUCCUAGUACGAGAGGACCGGAGUGGACGCAUCACUGGUGUUCGGGUUGUCAUGCCAAUGGCACUGCCCGGUAGCUAAAUGCGGAAGAGAUAAGUGCUGAAAGCAUCUAAGCACGAAACUUGCCCCGAGAUGAGUUCUCCCUGACUCCUUGAGAGUCCUGAAGGAACGUUGAAGACGACGACGUUGAUAGGCCGGGUGUGUAAGCGCAGCGAUGCGUUGAGCUAACCGGUACUAAUGAACCGUGAGGCUUAACCUUACAACGCCGAAG